CUUGAUGGAGCCGAGCCACAGCGGACGGUCCGCGGGCCGGUCCUGGCCGUAGGUGGCGAGGAGGGCGUGCGCCUC
Molecule: antisense RNA, 75 nt
Filed under: Streptomyces sp. NRRL F-7442
Lineage: Bacteria; Bacillati; Actinomycetota; Actinomycetes; Kitasatosporales; Streptomycetaceae
Description: ASpks sRNA
Rfam family: ASpks TB sRNA
Source: RNAcentral